Molecule: ribosomal RNA, 34 nt
Filed under: Oidiodendron griseum
Lineage: Eukaryota; Fungi; Ascomycota; Leotiomycetes; Myxotrichaceae
Description: partial 28S ribosomal RNA
Source: RNAcentral
UGGUUGACCUCGGAUCAGGUAGGAUACAGUGAUA